This is a long non-coding RNA of Mus musculus (house mouse), 2529 nucleotides long. RefSeq annotates it as predicted gene, 29679. NCBI's taxonomy places the organism in Eukaryota, Metazoa, Chordata, Mammalia, Rodentia, Muridae. The record is from RefSeq and is marked validated. The transcript has 2 exons.
CUUUCAGCCUGGCCGCUUAUCCAAACAGCCUAGCCUCAGCCACCCCUGCAGGCAGGCGUUGUCCUCAAUGAGGGCACCUGUGGCCAAACUGUGUCUGAAGCCCCUAGGAAGGACCCUACCAGGCAACUGCUACCUCUGGGCAAUCCGCGGUCCCUGGUGCCCUCUGCUGGACAGGCUGGGCUCUACAUGCCUUCAGAAAGUUACUUCAGGGCCAGGCUGUCGUGAAGGAAACUGAGCCUCUGAGAGAGGUAGUGACAUUCCUUCGGGCAAGCACAGGGGCUGUAGGAUCAGGGGACAGAGGCAAGAACUCUAGCCUCAGAAGUCAUAAGGUCUUCUCACCAGAUCCAAGGACAGCACUGGCUCAAAGUCAGACACCCUGCCUCCAGUCUCCCCGAAUCAUUUCUGGGGGACCUUCUCUCUGCAGACCCCGGGGCAGGAUUCUUGUGGACAUCUCAGAGACUCCUGGCAACUCCAACUGCGCACAUCUGGAAUCCACAUGACCCAGAAGAUUCCCCUCCCUGCCCUGAAACCCUCAAAGAAGCCCUUAAAGAGAUCAGUACUGUUGUUUGAAACCAGAAUUGAGAGGCAAGGCUACCUUUCCACAGAGACCCAGCGGUGUUUCGAAUAGACAAGGGACGGGUGGGGACUAUGAGGGACUCGUGAGAAAUGGACAGAAGUGUCGGUGUUUUCCUGUAUGUGGGAAAUGAGGGAAGAGAGAAAGAAGAGGAGGGAGAAAAUGAGGAGGAACGGAAGGAGGAGGUCACCCAGGGCUGGCCACGGCCUGCACAUCAAACUUAGCCCAAGAAGCAGCUGGCUGGGCUGGACCUACAAACCCCAGCAAUCCAUGAAGUCCAUCUUGGCCCAAGCAGAUGAACACCCACAAACUGUGUGGGACCCACCUGGGCCCAGGCCUGUGUGCUCAGGAUGCUCUGGCUGGCUGUAUGGCAUCCGUUAUGAUGGGCAUGCUUGUGGCCAGCUUGGAUUCCAGGCCUUGCUGCACUUUUAAAGACUUGUCUACUUUUCUGUAUGUAUGUGAGUGUCUUGCCUACAUUGUAUACCAUGUGUGUGCCUGCUGUCCACAGAGACCACAAGAGGGCGUCUGAGGCCCUGGAGCAGGAGUUACAGAUGGUUGUGAGCUGCCACGAGGGGCCUCUGGAAGAGCAGUCAGUGUUCUUACUGCUGAGCCGUCUCUCCAGGCUGUGAGUGAGGACUUUGUUUGUUUGUUUGUUUUGUUUUGUUCGAGACAGGGUUUCUCUGUGUAGCCCUGGCUGUCCUGGAACUCACUUUGUAGACCAGGCUGGCCUCGAACUCAGAAAUCCACCUGCCUCUGCCUCCCAAGUGCUGGGAUUAAAGGCAUGCGCCACAAACACCCAGGUCGGAAGUGAGGAUUUUAAGCUCCGCGUUUACUCAGAUGCAAUGGUCUCAGACACUGGGGCAGACAGUUGGCACUCUGUGGACCCUGACUCCUGAACACAUAGAAAACCUCAGGACAGGGCAGGACACGUCUAGAAAAAUAACAAACACAUUUCUCUACGGUCAACAACAAAUUUGAGAGCUUAGAAUCCAAAAUAUGGUUGGAAUUCAAUACAUGACCUCUGAUGGGAGCUGGCUCUCAUGCCUCAGGAGGGAAUUGAGGCACCCACAGCCAGAAUCUAAGCCACGUUCAUGUAGUUGUCUGAGCUGGAACCCAUCUGGUGACACUCACCACCAAACAAGCAGGCCACACCUUAUUUGUAUUAUAUACCGACUUUAAUAAUAAUAAAAAAUCUAUCAUGAAUUUAAUGAAAAGAAUCUGUACAUUUAAAAUAAACCAGGUAUGCUGCCCUGGCCCUCGGGGCCCUUCCCCGUCCCCCUCAGCAGGGUUAACAGGGGCCCUGGUUCUCUGGAUGAACAAAACACAUCAACAAAGAUGGCCCGAUACCAAGAGAAAGGUGGCCCCGAGGGACCGAGGGGACCAUACUCCCAAACCCAGCCUUACAGCCUUAUAGGUGAGAAGGCAUGCCCUUCCCGCUCCUACAUGCCAGCGGUUCCCUAUAGAUGUUCAGAAGCUGGAGGACAAACAGCCCAGGGGUCCCCACGUGCAGCCGCCGACUCAGAAGGUAGGACAACAGGUUCCUAUCUCUCCGGUUCUCUGACCCUGUUCUGAGAUGAUGACAUCAAAAUAAAGAACACGCAGCCCGGCCCUAAGCCACAACUGAGCACCUCUCAAACUCUGGUCCAGUCGUUGACACAACCAAGUCCAACGUGGGCCGGACUCGCGGGUGCUGAGGCAGGGGAAGGAGCAGUGAAGCCUGUGAGGCACAUCUCACAGCCUUUAGAUUUUAACACGGAAAUAAUGACCUCUUAAACCUUUUCAAUAAUUUAGUUCCUUUUGUUUUUUAGUAGAGCUGAAUAAAGUUGUUGAUAACUACUUUAUGUUGGUCCCAUUAGGCAAUAUACUCUUCUCUGAAAUUUAAAGCGUCAAAGACAUAAUGACAAAAACGUUACGGGGAGGGGGAAAACUCUUGACAACACUAACAAUGACAGUAA